This 486-nucleotide ribosomal RNA is filed under the name uncultured Legionella sp. RNAcentral's name for it is "bacterial SSU rRNA". It matches the Rfam family "Bacterial small subunit ribosomal RNA", at positions 296 to 774 of the family's 1533-position model. The record is from RNAcentral. Lineage: Bacteria; Pseudomonadati; Pseudomonadota; Gammaproteobacteria; Legionellales; Legionellaceae.
GAGGAUGAACAGCCACACUGGGACUGAGACACGGCCCAGACUCCUACGGGAGGCAGCAGUGGGGAAUAUUGGACAAUGGGGGAAACCCUGAUCCAGCAAUGCCGCGUGUGUGAAGAAGGCCUGAGGGUUGUAAAGCACUUUCAGUGGGGAGGAGGAUUGACAGGUUAAGAGCUAGUUAAUUGGACGUUACCCACAGAAGAAGCACCGGCUAACUCCGUGCCAGCAGCCGCGGUAAUACGGAGGGUGCGAGCGUUAAUCGGAAUUACUGGGCGUAAAGGGUGCGUAGGUGGUCAAUUAAGUUAGAUGUAAAAACCCUGGGCUUAACCUGGGGCUGAGAUUUAAUACUGGUUGACUGGAGUAUUGGAGAGGGUAGUGGAAUUUCCGGUGUAGCGGUGAAAUGCGUAGAGAUCGGAAGGAACACCAGUGGCGAAGGCGGCUACCUGGCCAGAUACUGACACUGAAGCACGAAAGCGUGGGGAGCAAACA